RNAcentral lists this transfer RNA (72 nucleotides) under Sus scrofa (pig). It matches the Rfam family "tRNA". Rfam says of the family: Transfer RNA (tRNA) molecules are approximately 80 nucleotides in length. Their secondary structure includes four short double-helical elements and three loops (D, anti-codon, and T loops). Further hydrogen bonds mediate the characteristic L-shaped molecular structure. tRNAs have two regions of fundamental functional importance: the anti-codon, which is responsible for specific mRNA codon recognition, and the 3' end, to which the tRNAs corresponding amino acid is attached (by aminoacyl-tRNA synthetases). tRNAs cope with the degeneracy of the genetic code in two manners: having more than one tRNA (with a specific anti-codon) for a particular amino acid; and 'wobble' base-pairing, i.e. permitting non-standard base-pairing at the 3rd anti-codon position. Lineage: Eukaryota; Metazoa; Chordata; Mammalia; Artiodactyla; Suidae. The record is from Rfam by way of RNAcentral.
UCCCUGGUAGUCUAGUGGUUAGAACUUGGCACUUUCACUGCUGAGGUCCAGGUUCAAUCCCAGGUUUGAGAA